GGCCCUUUGGCGCAAUUGGCAGUCGCGUCGGCUUCCAGCUCCUUCCGGCUCACUGAGCCUCUGGCAUUCCGAAGGUUGUCCGUUCGAGUCGGGCAGGGGUCA
RNAcentral lists this transfer RNA (102 nucleotides) under Pseudozyma flocculosa. Its description in RNAcentral is "Anthracocystis flocculosa transfer RNA-Trp(CCA)". Lineage: Eukaryota; Fungi; Basidiomycota; Ustilaginomycetes; Ustilaginales; Ustilaginaceae. The record is from RNAcentral.